This is a long non-coding RNA of Octopus bimaculoides (California two-spot octopus), 656 nucleotides long. The record is from RefSeq and is a predicted model, not a curated record. NCBI's taxonomy places the organism in Eukaryota, Metazoa, Mollusca, Cephalopoda, Octopoda, Octopodidae.
UUAAUGGCAGUCUGCUGUGUCAUUUAAAAAGCUGCAACCUCUCAUUUAUUCUUCACAUCUUCAAUGCCUGAACAAACACCAACAAUGUGACUAUACAUUGUUUGUGGAUUGUAAUGAAUAUAACUUGAUGAUGUUUCACCGAAAAUAUCCGAUUGGCACAAGGCCCGAAAGUUUUGAGCAGGGGACCAGUCGAUUAGAUCGACACCAGUACGCAGCUUGUACUUAAUUUAUCGACCCUGGAAGGAGGAAAUGCAAAGUCGACCUCGGCAGAAUUUGAACUCAGAACGUGAAAAAAGACGAUAUACCGAAUGAGAAGUUCGUGUUUUUAGUUUUAACAAGAUGAUUACGUUGAACAGCUAUAGAAUUUGAAUACGACUUCAAGUGACGGCAUCCCAGCAACUGACUCUACACGCAAACUGCUACAUGUAGCUGAAACAUAGAGGACUUGGAAAGUAACUUUUACAAAAUGAUUUGCUGCAGAUUGAAGUAGAUAAUCGACGAUUAGCGCAAGCGUGGAAAGCAUAAUAUGGAAAGCUUCAAAGAACACACGUGACAGAAUUAAUAUAAAUAUCGCUUGCAAAAUAUAGUUAUGAAACAACUGCAUGGAUUGCAUCAUUCUCCGAUACAUGUUGUGAGAAAAAUUAAAUAAAAAUCAC